UGCUUAUUAAGAACUAUGGAGAGAAAAAAACUCGGUGAAAUAGUAGCAACCUUUUUGGUUAGGUGCUUAAAAUAAGGGGAAACCAGCAAUGAGAA
RNAcentral lists this non-coding RNA (95 nucleotides) under Spiroplasma taiwanense. RNAcentral describes it as "SAM-I sequence". It matches the Rfam family "SAM riboswitch aptamer (S box leader)". From Rfam's summary of the family: The SAM riboswitch is found upstream of a number of genes which code for proteins involved in methionine or cysteine biosynthesis in Gram-positive bacteria. The SAM riboswitch acts at the level of transcription termination control. RNAcentral also lists the same sequence under 1 other name. Lineage: Bacteria; Bacillati; Mycoplasmatota; Mollicutes; Entomoplasmatales; Spiroplasmataceae. The record is from RNAcentral.